This 3949-nucleotide long non-coding RNA is filed under the name Zea mays. Its description in RNAcentral is "long non-coding RNA (ZMAY_LNC004247)". The record is from RNAcentral. Lineage: Eukaryota; Viridiplantae; Streptophyta; Magnoliopsida; Poales; Poaceae.
UCGUGCGAGAUCCAAUCCGCCAAUCGGCGCGCCACCAUGGACAAAGAAAAGCAGUAUGUCGCCGUGAGUGAAACCAUGUCCAUCCUUUGAUUUGGCCUAGCGAAUCAGACCGAUGGUGAAGCACAAGGAGCGGGGGAGGUGUGUGUGGGGAUUCCUAACCGUGGGGAGGCCCAAAUCAACCACAAUUUCUCGACGGAGCUGGGAAACCGCCGCCGUGCCGCAUGAUGUCGGUAUUGGGCCUCUACGACAUGCGAUUCCUAGGUAUGAAGUCCUUACCGAUUUCCUUAAGCCCCUAGCUGCGUUCAACACGAUUUUGUAUGGAGUUUGGUCCACUGUAGUGUCGAUCCCGUGGUCGCCGGCAUGACCGCCGCCGUGCACUAGGUGCCUGCCGCGUCCGACUGCUUUUGUGGGGAAGAGAAUCUGGUGAGCGUUGGAUCCUUUAUGUAGGGUUGUAGUAUGGGGGUGUGGUUGGUCGUUGGAUCGAGCGCGGGCGCUCCGGAUCAGACGAAUGGUGACCCCUUCGAAUGUUGAAAUCACGACCGUUGAUUACUGAUCCAACACACCUUGUAGCAUAUCCUUUCGGGUUAUAACUGAGUACAUUGGAUCUGGAUCGUGCGGCCGAGAUCUAGGGAUACCCCUUCAGCCGACCCAUCUUACAAAAGAGCCCCUGAUGUUGUUAAUAAAUAACCCGCCAUUCCCCGCAGGAUAAACAUGAGUCUUAGAGAAAGAUAUGAAUUAGCCCCUGGGUUUCUGUUUAUUUCACGCACAACCCAGAGUUUUGGUAAAUUAGGGAAAAGAUUUAUAAAUUGAUUUUUGAAUAUAGAAAUAAUCGCAGAAACUUAUUUAAUUCCUAGAAAAUUCAUAUUAACUCCUUUUUAGUCCAUUCUAGUUCCUAUAAUUUUGUUUUAUUAUUGUUCAUCACUCAGUAACACUGUUUUAGUAUGAAACUCAUAAUAGAAUUUAUCUCAUAAUUAAUCUCGUAUCAAAUGCAUAAAACCUUCGGAAAUUCUUAACUCCUCCGUUUUAAUUCCGAAUUGACUCGUUCUAGUUGUGUUAGCUUCAUAUAAAUAUUUACUACACAAUAACAACAUCAAUUAUACCAUGUCGCAUACUUUUAUAUUUAUUUAUCCUAUGUCUACUAGACUACCUCUUCUAAAUCAAAUUUAACCUGUCCAUAACUAUAAUAUGAUUAAAGCAUGAUCUCUAGUCAAGCUAUGAUUAAAGUUUAAGUUGAAUUAAUUAUUUAUUUAUGGAAUAAUCUAUCAUAUGAUAUAGACUAACCAACUUAUAAUAUAGUUUAAUAUUUAAAUCACAUAGAUCUUCUAUAAAAUCGUAACUCCUUAAUCGUAACUCCGAUCUUACUAGUUCUCGAUCCCAUGAUCUCGUAGCAACGCGUAGAUUACUACUAUGCAGUUUGUUAUUAUGUUUGGUGUGAUGUUAAUUUUGUCUAUACCAUGUUAGCUUGUAUUGCUACGACUAGCAGUGAGGUCACGAGAAUCUAAAGAUCAUCAUGGUACUUGGAAUCUCAAGUCCCAAGCAAGUUGUGCCCUUGAUCACUUUUAUUACCCAACAAUGUUCUCUAUAAUCAUUUUAUCAUGCAUAGGCUUAAUUUUUAUGGGACCCAAUAGGUUGCCCUAGACUGCUUAUCUUUUUACCUUGUUCACCCCUGAAUCAUUUUGGUAGUUUUGCUAUUGCUCUAUGGUUUUGGGUUUAAUAUUAUAUUAUAUCCAUGUUCCAAUUAUUCUGUUAUUAUAUUUAUGUUCAUGUCAAGAUCAUUAUUGUAAUUGGAACAUGGAGCUUAACUUGGAGAAACACGUGCCACUACAAGGGUGGAAUAGGACGCCCUUGGCUGACUAACUAGGAAAGCUAGUGGAAGACUACCUUACCCGAAAGGGGCAAGGGCAGUAGGGGAGUAGGCACGCAGGGAGGUUCUCGAGUUGAUUUUGCUGCGAUGGCGGUCAGACGAGGGAUUUUUGCAAGUGCUCUUCCCAUAAACUGUAGCGGGUUUUUGGAAGCUAGUGGAACUAGGUAAAGGCCUCGUAGUGUUACCCUACCUCGCUUCCUUGGUAGAGGUGUACGGGAUUCAUGACCUCUUGGCAGAUGGGUAACAUGGCUUGUGGGUAAAGGGUACAACCUCUGCAGAGUGUAAAAACUGGUAUACUAGCUGAGCUCACGGUCAUGAGCAGCUCAGGACUCUCGCAAGAUUAAACUAUGGAACUAAAUUCAGUUUGUCAUUUGCAUUGCAUGGGAUUAUUUAUUGAUUUUGUUCUAUUAUUAUUAUAGUUUGGUAUUUACUUACAUCUAGUAAUUGCUAAUAAAAUUUUGACCAACUUUAAAAGCAAUGCUCAACUUUAACCAUUCUCUUUGGUAAGCCUUACACCUCACAUGAGCUCCCACCUUUAGUGAGUUCAUGCACAUUAUUCCCCACAACUUGUUGAGCAUUGAACAUGUGUGACCUCACCCUUGCUGUCUCACACCCCCCAUAGGAGAAGAAUAGGUGGUUCAAGAAGAGCCACACAACGAGGAGUUUGACUUAAUCUAGGUGGCGUCUCCCAGUUGACUUAUUGGCGCCAAGGAUGGAUUUUAGUUUGUUUUAUAUUUAUCUUUCAUUUUGUAAGACUUCUGCUAUAUAAUAAGUACUCUGAUGUUAUUGUGACAUUUAUCUCUAUACACAUCUGUUAUUAUAUGUGUUGUCUUCUUUGGCGCAUAUAUGAGAUGCACCCGGCUUUGUCCCUUAAAUCCGGGUGUGAUAGGCACUCCAGUCCUCAACGUCGCACGUGUGGAGCAGAAGAAAGGGGAAGUUGGGCCGCCAUCCGAAUUCGGCCCAGUACGGCUGAGUUUGAUUUUUCUUUUGAUUCUCGAUUUCUUUUCUAUUUUUUCCAAAUCCAAGUGCUCAAAUGAAUUUGAAUUCCUAGUUUGAAUCUCAGACUUUUAAAUACCAAAUAAGAUUCUAAUGUGAAUGGUACUACCCCUUUAUGCCAUAAUUAUUAUUUAGUUAUUAUUAUAAUAAUUAUUCAUCCUCCAUUCUUUAAUUCUUUGGCUCCCAUAUUAUAUAGUGUACUAUUUUGGACUCAAGUCUAGUCUUAAUUCAUUUAUAACUUUAUAUUGGAUGCAUAGACAAAAAAUAUCCAGCAUGAUGCAUAGAAUAUUUUAUUAAUUAUUUGUUUUCUUAAAUAUGGUUAUGCUCAUGUUCUAUCUUGUGGAUGGCAAAACAUGUAGUACAAUUAAUUCUUUUCCUUCUCUAUUACAAAUUGGGUAUUACAACUAACUCGCGGUCCGAUAAAAAUUAAAAGAAAUUUAAUUCAGGUCCUGUUUUUGUGGUUUAAACCCUGCUCUUUCAGGUAACAGAAGCCACCGUCCAAAGACUCUAUUAAAUUAUGAAAAUCGAAUCCGAAGUUGAUUUCUAAUAUAAAUAAUUCCUAAACAUAGAAAAUUCAUAUUUUCUUCGUUUUAACUCUAAUUUAAUCCGUUCAAGUUGCAUUUGCUUCGUAAUAAAAUUAUCCACUUGUUAAAACAUUAUGUCAUCUAUUUUCAAGAAUAGUUAAGUGUUGGUUUACUAGGUUAACUUAUCUAAUCAAAGUGAAAUGUGAUACUUUAAUUUGAUCUAUGAUCAUAAUUUGACUAAAAUAUGAUUCUAAUCAAGUUAUAAUUUAGAAUAAAACUAAAUUAAUGUUUUCUUCAGAAUAUCUUUCUCACAUGAUUUAUUAAUCAACAUAGACAUAGUUUUCAUAUUUAAUCACAUAAAACUUAUGAAAACCAUAUCGUUUCAACCAUAACUCUGAAUUUAGAGAUUCUCAAACAUACGAUUCUGUAGCGAGACGUAGAAUAAUAUUACGUGGUUCAUUCUCUUGCUUGGUGUGAUGUUAAUUUUGUCCAUACAAUGUUUGUUUGUAUUGGUGCGAGUAGACGAGCCAGCCACUGAGGAACCUAGAGCACAACAGGUUGAGGA